This 220-nucleotide long non-coding RNA is filed under the name Nicotiana benthamiana. RNAcentral describes it as "long non-coding RNA (NBEN_LNC018207)". The record is from RNAcentral. Lineage: Eukaryota; Viridiplantae; Streptophyta; Magnoliopsida; Solanales; Solanaceae.
ACGGAGACGUCUGUACUUAUCCUCGGGCGGCUAUAGGGCUGUUAAGAGUACUUUCCUUCUUGAUUUCUUUAUCGUGCGGUUCAAUUCCCUUAAGGCUUAUGCCUUUGAUUUCUUCCUACUUAAUAUUACUCAAGCGAUUGUUAUAAAUGGAAAAUUGAAAGAUUAUAAUGGCACUACAAAGGUAGUGCGAGAUGAUUCUCCCGGUAUAGUUGAUUGGACU